AUACUUACCUGGCAGAGGGAGAUACCAUGAUCACGAAGGUGGUUUUCCCAGGGCGAGGCUUAUCCUUUGCACUCCGGGAUGUGCUGACCCCUGCGAUGUCCCCAAAUGUGGGAAAACUCGACUGCAUAAUUUGUGGUAGUGGGGGGACUGCGUUUGCGCUCUCCCCUG
Molecule: small nuclear RNA, 168 nt
Filed under: Echinops telfairi (small Madagascar hedgehog)
Lineage: Eukaryota; Metazoa; Chordata; Mammalia; Afrosoricida; Tenrecidae
Description: U1 spliceosomal RNA (ENSETEG00000020798.1)
Rfam family: U1 spliceosomal RNA
About the family: U1 is a small nuclear RNA (snRNA) component of the spliceosome (involved in pre-mRNA splicing). Its 5' end forms complementary base pairs with the 5' splice junction, thus defining the 5' donor site of an intron.
Source: RNAcentral